AUUGAACGCUGGCGGCAGGCUUAACACAUGCAAGUCGAGCGGGGUGAUGGUGCUUGCACUAUCACUUAGCGGCGGACGGGUGAGUAAUGCUUAGGAAUCUGCCUAUUAGUGGGGGACAACAUCUCGAAAGGGAUGCUAAUACCGCAUACGUCCUACGGGAGACAGCAGGGGCUCACUUGUGACCUUGCGCUAAUAGAUGAGCCUAAGUCGGAUUAGCUAGUUGGUGGGGUAAAGGCCUACCAAGGCGACGAUCUGUAGCGGGUCUGAGAGGAUGAUCCGCCACACUGGGACUGAGACACGGCCCAGACUCCUACGGGAGGCAGCAGUGGGGAAUAUUGGACAAUGGGGGGAACCCUGAUCCAGCCAUGCCGCGUGUGUGAAGAAGGCCUUAUGGUUGUAAAGCACUUUAAGCGAGGAGGAGGCUCUUUUGGUUAAUACCCAAGAUGAGUGGGCGUUACUCGCAGAAUAAGCACCGGCUAACUCUGUGCCAGCCGCCGCCUAA
This 502-nucleotide ribosomal RNA is filed under the name uncultured bacterium. Its description in RNAcentral is "partial 16S ribosomal RNA". It matches the Rfam family "Bacterial small subunit ribosomal RNA", at positions 30 to 522 of the family's 1533-position model. The record is from RNAcentral.